GGUUGUGAGGGUGCUCUGUGACAUUUGUCACCCCAUCGAUCGCCAGGACUGAUGUGGCUGAUCUGGCUGGUUAGGCGGGUGUCCCCGUCCUCCCUCACCACUCCAUGCGUCCCUUCCGAAGAUGUGUGCUUGGUCAAAGAGGGCAGCCUUCCCCGAGAGAGGAGGACUGUUGUGCGGUCAAGAGCAUAUGAGUAGCUGUGCUCCCCUGCUGGCACCUCCAGACAAGCUCUCAAGGUCUGUUUGUAGGAGAAUACAGGGUAGUCGAGCUUCUAAGACUCCAGACAUAUUCAAAUGAGGUGCUGCACGUGGCAGUCUGCCUUUCU
This 323-nucleotide small nuclear RNA is filed under the name Panthera pardus (leopard). RNAcentral's name for it is "7SK RNA (ENSPPRG00000015611.1)". It matches the Rfam family "7SK RNA". Rfam says of the family: 7SK was discovered as an abundant small nuclear RNA in the mid-70s but a possible function has only recently been suggested. Two independent studies have found that 7SK RNA binds the CDK9/cyclin T complex (known as elongation factor P-TEFb). Lineage: Eukaryota; Metazoa; Chordata; Mammalia; Carnivora; Felidae. The record is from RNAcentral.